AACGAACGCUGGCGGCAGGCCUAACACAUGCAAGUCGAACGCCCCGCAAGGGGAGUGGCAGACGGGUGAGUAGCGCGUGGGAACCUUCCCAAAGGUGAGGAAUAGCUCAGGGAAACUGGGGGUAAUACCGCAUAAUGCCGAAAGGCCAAAGAUUCAUCGCCUUUGGAUGGGCCCGCGUCGGAUUAGCUAGUUGGUGAGGUAACGGCUCACCAAGGCGACGAUCCGUAGCUGGUUUGAGAGAAUGCCCAGCCACACUGGGACUGAGACACGGCCCAGACUCCUACGGGAGGCAGCAGUGGGGAACCUUGGACAAUGGGCGCAAGCCUGAUCCAGCCAUGCCGCGUGAGUGACGAAGGCCUUAGGGUUGUAAAGCUCUUUUGCCGGGGACGAUAAUGACGGUACCCGGAGAAUAAGUCCCGGCUAACUUCGUGCCAGCCGCCGCGGUAA
Molecule: ribosomal RNA, 447 nt
Filed under: uncultured bacterium
Lineage: Bacteria
Description: partial 16S ribosomal RNA
Rfam family: Bacterial small subunit ribosomal RNA
Source: RNAcentral